This 439-nucleotide ribosomal RNA is filed under the name Burkholderia sp. oral taxon 406. Its description in RNAcentral is "bacterial SSU rRNA". It matches the Rfam family "Bacterial small subunit ribosomal RNA", at positions 30 to 463 of the family's 1533-position model. The record is from RNAcentral. Lineage: Bacteria; Pseudomonadati; Pseudomonadota; Betaproteobacteria; Burkholderiales; Burkholderiaceae.
AUUGAACGCUGGCGGCAUGCCUUACACAUGCAAGUCGAACGGCAGCAUGAUCUAGCUUGCUAGAUUGAUGGCGAGUGGCGAACGGGUGAGUAAUACAUCGGAACGUGCCCUGUAGUGGGGGAUAACUAGUCGAAAGAUUAGCUAAUACCGCAUACGACCUGAGGGUGAAAGUGGGGGACCGCAAGGCCUCAUGCUAUAGGAGCGGCCGAUGUCUGAUUAGCUAGUUGGUGAGGUAAAGGCUCACCAAGGCGACGAUCAGUAGCUGGUCUGAGAGGACGAUCAGCCACACUGGGACUGAGACACGGCCCAGACUCCUACGGGAGGCAGCAGUGGGGAAUUUUGGACAAUGGGGGCAACCCUGAUCCAGCAAUGCCGCGUGUGUGAAGAAGGCCUUCGGGUUGUAAAGCACUUUUGUCCGGAAAGAAAUCGCACUUACUAA